This 253-nucleotide ribosomal RNA is filed under the name uncultured bacterium. RNAcentral describes it as "partial 16S ribosomal RNA". It matches the Rfam family "Bacterial small subunit ribosomal RNA", at positions 524 to 776 of the family's 1533-position model. The record is from RNAcentral.
UACGUAGGGGGCAAGCGUUGUCCGGAUUUAUUGGGCGUAAAGAGCGUGUAGGCGGCCUGAAAGGUCAGCUGUGAAAACUCGAGGCUCAACCUCGAGACGUCGGUUGAAACCAUCUGGCUAGAGUCCGGAAGAGGAGUGUGGAAUUCCCGGUGUAGCGGUGAAAUGCGCAGAUAUCGGGAAGAACACCCGUGGCGAAAGCGGCUCACUGGACCAUAACUGACGCUGAUGCACGAAAGCUAGGGGAGCAAACAGG